RNAcentral lists this transfer RNA (70 nucleotides) under Camelus bactrianus (Bactrian camel). It matches the Rfam family "tRNA". From Rfam's summary of the family: Transfer RNA (tRNA) molecules are approximately 80 nucleotides in length. Their secondary structure includes four short double-helical elements and three loops (D, anti-codon, and T loops). Lineage: Eukaryota; Metazoa; Chordata; Mammalia; Artiodactyla; Camelidae. RNAcentral also lists the same sequence under 2 other names. The record is from Rfam by way of RNAcentral.
GGGGGUAGCUCAGUGGUAGAGUGCCUGCCUAGCAUGUACAAGGUCCUGGGUUCAAUCCCCAGUACCUCCA